RNAcentral lists this non-coding RNA (23 nucleotides) under Arabidopsis thaliana (thale cress). The record is from RNAcentral. Lineage: Eukaryota; Viridiplantae; Streptophyta; Magnoliopsida; Brassicales; Brassicaceae.
AUACUCGUGAAUGCCUAAUUUCA